CAGGUACAGCGGGAAGGCCACCUGGCGACAGGGCGGCGGAACCCGAAAACCUGUCUCAGUUCGGAUUGGAGUCUGCAACCCGACUCCAUGAAGCUGGAUUCGCUAGUAAUCGCGCAUCAGCCACGGCGCGGUGAAUACGUUCCCGGGCCUUGUACACACCGCCCGUCAAGCCAUGGAAGCCGGGAGUGCCUGAAGUGCGUGACCGCAAGGAGCGUCCUAAGGCAAUACCGGUGACUGGGGCUAAGUCGUAACAAGGUAUC
Molecule: ribosomal RNA, 260 nt
Filed under: uncultured bacterium
Lineage: Bacteria
Description: partial 16S ribosomal RNA
Rfam family: Bacterial small subunit ribosomal RNA
Source: RNAcentral